Molecule: ribosomal RNA, 425 nt
Filed under: uncultured bacterium
Lineage: Bacteria
Description: partial 16S ribosomal RNA
Rfam family: Bacterial small subunit ribosomal RNA
Source: RNAcentral
GUGGGGAAUCUUAGACAAUGGGGGAAACCCUGAUCUAGCCAUGCCGCGUGAUCGAUGAAGGCCUUAGGGUUGUAAAGAUCUUUCGCUGGGGAAGAUAAUGACUGUACCCAGUAAAGAAGCCCCGGCUAACUCCGUGCCAGCAGCCGCGGUAAUACGGAGGGGGCUAGCGUUAUUCGGAAUUACUGGGCGUAAAGCGCACGUAGGCGGACUGGAAAGUUGGGGGUGAAAUCCCGGGGCUCAACCUCGGAACUGCCUUCAAAACUCCCAGUCUUGAGUUCGAGAGAGGUGAGUGGAAUUCCGAGUGUAGAGGUGAAAUUCGUAGAUAUUCGGAGGAACACCAGUGGCGAAGGCGGCUCACUGGCUCGAUACUGACGCUGAGGUGCGAAAGCGUGGGGAGCAAACAGGAUUAGAAACCCGUGUAGUCC